RNAcentral lists this unclassified non-coding RNA (287 nucleotides) under uncultured fungus. RNAcentral describes it as "partial contains 5.8S rRNA, ITS2 and 28S rRNA". It matches the Rfam family "Eukaryotic large subunit ribosomal RNA", at positions 668 to 961 of the family's 3401-position model. Lineage: Eukaryota; Fungi. The record is from RNAcentral.
AAGGAGUCGUCCAUUAGAGCGAGCGUUUGGGUGUAAAACCCGCACGCGUAAUGAAAGUGAAAUUAGGUGAGAGCUUCGGCGCAUCAUCGACCGAUCCUGAAGUUUACGGAUGGAUUUGAGUAAGAGUUUUAACGGACGGACCCGAAAGACAGUGAACUAUGCUUGAAUAGGGUGAAGCCAGAGGAAACUCUGGUGGAGGCUCGCAGCGAUUCUGACGUGCAAAUCGAUCGUCAAAUUUGGGCAUGGGGGCGAAAGACUAAUCGAACUAUCUAGUAGCUGGUUCCCGC